GACUCAUUUAAAAAAAAAUGUUAACGUAUUUUAGACAUCUUCUAUACAUUAGCCUAGCGUUUUUCAAAAUCGGAGUUGGCAACACUGACGCCGAAGUGAUUUGUCAACGCGUCUUGUGUUAAUUUUUUUGCGGUUAUCUAUCACAUCACAGAUCUAACAACUUACAAGUUCAAUGGAGUAAGUGAUCGAAUCUUUAAAAACAUGGGAGUUGGAGAACUUAAUACGAAAAUUCACCACCCCGGAAUCGGACGCUAAUAAAACCAUGUUCCGAUGGUAAUAGGCGACGCCCAGCGUGCCCGGGUGUUGAAAUAAGUGCAAAACUGCUCUCCGCUCGCCUUUUGUCCACCAACGGGUUCACGCCGCGUCGCCUAAUCCUCGCGCCGGUCGCCAGCAUUCCCCGCUGUGUUCCGGUAACCUACAGGCGGCAAGCUGACGCUGCCGUCAUCCACACGACACCAUCUCUGAGGCGGCUGACGUGGCAGUCGUGGUGGUCUGAGGCGGCUGACGUAGCACGUUUGAGACCCUGAUGGAUUUUUCUGAGUUUAACAUAAGCACAGACCUAAUAGUUAUAGAAACUUCAGAAAAGGAAAACUUGUCCUCGGAAAAGGAAAAUGUGCCAUCUGCAAUUGCUGAGAAGAAAGCAGAGCCCAGUUAUAAUUCCAGGAUUGUGGAAAAGUCAUUGGACUCUGCAUCACUAUUUUGAAAAUAUUCUGCUCUCAAAAAACCACAAGGAUAUUCUUUGCGGCUUAACGACUUCAAAAGCACAUGAAAUUUACUAGGACAAUUUGUUUAUAAAUUUUCCAUCAAUGAAAAUAAAUCUUCAGGAACAGCUGAAAUACAAAAAGUCGAACUUACUGCACUUACCAAUUCGCCCUAUGAGGAAACAACGAAUAUAGCCGGAUUUCUCACCAUUCCAUUUUUGCUGAACACUGCGGCAGUCCGCCAAAAGAAGAAGCGAGGUUCCGGUGCAAGUCAAAAUUGGAAGCCCAGUAAAAUGGAAGUAAGGGAAGGUUUCAUAAAGCAUAUCCGCUCUAGUGUAGAAAUUAGCCAGACCAUCGAACUUCGCAUAGCCACACUUCAAAAAAUAGGAUUGUCAUGCCAGCCAUACAUAAUUGUUAUGGGUGAGUCUCUUGAAAAAAUCGAAUCAUUUCUAGUUGUUGUCAGCAGAUCGAUAAUCUAUGAAAGACAGUCCAUUAUGAACGCAGUAGAUACGUGCUACAAAAUAUAUAAUACAAUGAAAAUAUAAUACAUUGUACUUACUGGUGAACUCUGGUAUUAAGACGAUACAGGAGUGAUCUAUUCUCCAUACAAACGCUCUCGACUAUU
This 1326-nucleotide long non-coding RNA is filed under the name Leguminivora glycinivorella. Its description in RNAcentral is "uncharacterized LOC125228149". Lineage: Eukaryota; Metazoa; Arthropoda; Insecta; Lepidoptera; Tortricidae. The record is from RNAcentral.